RNAcentral lists this ribosomal RNA (759 nucleotides) under Salmonella enterica. RNAcentral's name for it is "partial 23S ribosomal RNA". It matches the Rfam family "Bacterial large subunit ribosomal RNA", at positions 1 to 702 of the family's 2925-position model. Lineage: Bacteria; Pseudomonadati; Pseudomonadota; Gammaproteobacteria; Enterobacterales; Enterobacteriaceae. The record is from RNAcentral.
GUUAAGCGACUAAGCGUACACGGUGGAUGCCCUGGCAGUCAGAGGCGAUGAAGGACGUGCUAAUCUGCGAUAAGCGCCGGUAAGGUGAUAUGAACCGUUAUAACCGGCGAUUUCCGAAUGGGGAAACCCAGUGUGACUCGUCACACUAUCAUUAACUGAAUCCAUAGGUUAAUGAGGCGAACCGGGGGAACUGAAACAUCUAAGUACCCCGAGGAAAAGAAAUCAACCGAGAUUCCCCCAGUAGCGGCGAGCGAACGGGGAGGAGCCCAGAGCCUGAAUCAGCAUGUGUGUUAGUGGAAGCGUCUGGAAAGGCGCGCGAUACAGGGUGACAGCCCCGUACACAAAAGCGCAUAUGCUGUGAGCUCGAUGAGUAGGGCGGGACACGUGGUAUCCUGUCUGAAUAUGGGGGGACCAUCCUCCAAGGCUAAAUACUCCUGACUGACCGAUAGUGAACCAGUACCGUGAGGGAAAGGCGAAAAGAACCCCGGCGAGGGGAGUGAAAAAGAACCUGAAACCGUGUACGUACAAGCAGUGGGAGCCCCACCACUAAGCCAGUGGUGAACUCCACAUACGCAUCCUUUGCUGAGGAUACGGUUAACGGAGCGAAAGCGACGUUCAACCUCAAAAGAAGCAGAGGGGGCUUAGUGGUGGGGUGACUGCGUACCUUUUGUAUAAUGGGUCAGCGACUUAUAUUCUGUAGCAAGGUUAACCGUAUAGGGGAGCCGGAGGGAAACCGAGUCUUAACCGGGCGUUAAGUUG